CCAAAUAUAAAGAUUAAAACUUUUUUUAGAA
Molecule: transfer RNA, 31 nt
Filed under: Timarcha sp. DEH-1995
Lineage: Eukaryota; Metazoa; Arthropoda; Insecta; Coleoptera; Chrysomelidae
Also listed under: 3 other names
Description: partial transfer RNA-Leu
Source: RNAcentral